UUCUUUUAGAUAUUAUUAAAAGUAUUUUCUGCUCAAUGAGAAUUUAAAUAGCCGCAGUUUUCUGUGCUAAGGUAGCAUAAUCAAUUGUUUAUUAAUUGUAAACUAGAAUGAAGGAAAAAAUAAUUAAAGACUUUAUUAUUAUUAUAUAUUUAAAUUUAAUUUCAAUUUAAAAUGAUUGAAAUUUAAAUAGGGACAAGAAGACCCUAUAAAGCUUUAUAAAAAUAAAUCUUUAUUAAAAAUUUAUUUUUAUUUAAUUGGGGCAAUUCUCUAUUUUUUUAUAAUAUAGAGAUUAAUUUAUAGAAAAAUUGAAUUUUUUGAUCCAUAAAUUAUGAAAAUUGAAUUAGUUACUUUAGGGAUAACAGGAUAAUUUUAUUUUAAGAGUACUUAUUAAAAAAUUAGAUUAUUACCUCGAUGUUGAAUUAAUAAAAUUUUAUGGUGAAGAAGCUAUAGGUAAUUUAACUGUUCGUUAAUUAAUUAAUUACA
This 483-nucleotide ribosomal RNA is filed under the name Purcellia illustrans. Its description in RNAcentral is "partial 16S ribosomal RNA". The record is from RNAcentral. Lineage: Eukaryota; Metazoa; Arthropoda; Arachnida; Opiliones; Pettalidae.